This 440-nucleotide ribosomal RNA is filed under the name uncultured bacterium. RNAcentral describes it as "partial 16S ribosomal RNA". It matches the Rfam family "Bacterial small subunit ribosomal RNA", at positions 338 to 795 of the family's 1533-position model. The record is from RNAcentral.
CCUACGGGUGACUGCAGUGGGGAAUAUUGCACAAUGUGGGAAACCCUGAUGCAGCGACGCCGCGUGAGUGAAGAAGUAUUUCGGUAUGUAAAGCCCUAUCAGCAGGGAAGAAAAUGACGGUACCUGUUUAACAAGCACCGGCUAAAUACGAGCCAGCAGCCGCGGUAAUACGUAGGGGGCAAGCGUUAUCCGGAUUUAAUGGGUGUAAAGGGAGCGUAGACGGCAGCGCAAGUCUGAAGUGAAAUGCCGGGGCUUAAACCCGGAACUGCUUUGGAAACUGUGCAGCUAGAGUGCAGGAGAGGUAAGUGGAAUUCCUAGUGUAGCGGGGAAAUGCGUAGAUAUGAGGAGGAACACCAGUGGCGAAGGCGGCUUACUGGACUGUAACUGACGUUGAGGCUCGAAAGCGUGGGGAGCAAACAGGAUUAGAUACCCUAGUAGUC